GGCGCUGCGGCUCGUGCUGUGCGCGCUGGGGCUGGCGCUCUCCGUGUACGCGCUGCACGUGGAGAGCUCGCGGGAGCGGGCCCCCGGGUACCGGGCCAUGUGCGACCUGAGCCCCUCCGUCAGCUGCUCCAAGGUCUUCAUCUCCAGACUAAAAGAGAGAGGGACCUGUGUGACAUUCUCCACUCCGCUGAGCAGCCAGAUUGAGGUGACAAUCCCAAAGUCUCCAGAGUCAAGCACAGAACCCAGGAGUCCUGGCUCCCAGGCCCCACUGCGCCUCUGGGAAUGAUCCAGGAUGGGGCAACUCCAGACUCUGCCUCAACACUGGAGAGCAGAGCCGAGACACCAGGACCUGCCGCAUCAGUGGAGGGGAGCAGACCUGAGGCUCCAGAGACAUCUCCCAACAAAGUUCCUGCAGAUACGGUCCAGAUACGGGAAACAGGAGCUGGGUCUCCAUGGCCCAUUCCAUCCCUGACCACGGGCUGACUCGGCCGAUGAGGAAGUCAGUCAGGGCCCUCCACAUUCCCCUGGUUCUUCCAUCCAGCGUCUCCAUCUCCAUACACCCGCUGCGCCCGAGCGCCUGCCCAUCCCCUGUGUAUUGUCCACCUGUGAAGGAUGUGGAAGGUGCCAGGACUGUUUUACAAACACUUCAUGUAUUAGCUUUGUCAGACCUGCUUCCUGUACAGCCCCGGCUCCACACCUUGGCUGCUUUGCUCCAGCCCUAUGCCCUGCCUGCCUUGAACCCCUGGCUCUGACCCUUGGUUGGCCUCCCGACCGCACCUCCGCUUCUGCCCUCCAGCUCUGCUUUGACCACUAGGCCAGACUCCUGCUCUGACCAUGAGGUUGCACCACCUACAUCUCGGUGUGGGACACCCAGCCCCGGGAGUGGGGAGUGGGGUCUGGGUAAGGGAAGCCUCCCUAAGUGUUAGCUGAGACAGAGGGGUGUGAACGGUUGGGUGGGUUAGAUCCCUUUGCUUCUUAGGCUUUGGGCCCCUCCGUUGAGAUGAAUGGAGCUGGCGUUUGGAAAAGGCUGGUGUCUGUCCCUGUAUUCACACACUGGCCUCAGCUCCCGGAGGUGAGCAUGGCAGGGCCAGGCCCAGGCCCAGCUGCAGGAGGAAUCACCGCUGGGACUAUAGCUAUUUCCCUGGUCUGUGACUGGGCGCAUGGGGAGAUUCUUCCUCAGGGGGGUGAAGCCUUGAGGCCUAAAUCUUGGGAACGGAGACAUAGAGGAGGCCAAGGUGCAGCUGGCGCUGAGCUGUGACGCCAUCCUGGGUGGUGACGCCUUCGUGUCCGUCUGCAGGGAGAAGAGCCGUGAAGACGGUCCUGUCCUAGCUGAGAAUCAUGAACUUCAGAAACACGAACCUCAGGCUGAGGGAUCUCUUGGAAAUCAGUCCAGACAGCGUGAAGGACUCGACUCCUUAUACCUGGGGAGACUUGCCUAGGCACUUCAUAGAAUCAUAGAAUAUCAGGGUCGGAAGGGACCUCAGGAGGUCAUCUAGUCCAACCCCCUGCUCAAAGCAGGACCAAUUCCCAACUAAAUCAUCCCAGCCAGGGCUUUGUCAAGCCGGGCCUUAAAAACCUCCAAGGAAGGAGACUCCACCACCUCCCUAGGCUUCGGAGAGCUGCCAAUCUCGCACCAACAGGUCCAGACCCUGCAACAGAGAGCGCAGGAGGAGGGUCACACUGGGGCUGGGAGCACAGAGAGGAGACCAGAGCUGGAGGCUGCUGCCGAACCCCGCCACCGACAUCGAGAUCCUGGGCAUGACGUGAGCGUGGAGGUAGAAUAAUGGGAGCAGGGACUGGCUGUUUGUUCGGGGUUUGACCAGCACCUGGCACAAUGGGGUUCUGGUCUAGGAAGGGGGGGUCUGAGGUGCUCUGGCAAUAGAGACAAUGAAUAAUAAGAAUCAGGUGGGGGUGAUGGGAGUGGGGGGUGGAACCAGCAUUGGGUUGAUGGGAAACGAGGACUCACCUGGAUUGGGGGCAGACUGCAGGUCUCUCCGACCUCCUUCGCAACAUGAACGAACAUCUGCGAUGCAGCGAGAGAGAGACAAGGAAUUUUUUUUCCAUCUUGAACAAAAGAUCCCCCCACAGGUGACAAAGACGGAAAACUGAAGAUUGAAACCUGAGAAACAAUGAUAGCUCCCUAAAAAUGUGAAGAGAGACACCCAAGAGAUACUAACAUUUGGCUGUUCUUUGAAAAUGGAAAUUUUCAUGAAAAGAUUCUGAUUUUGUCAGUUUUCCAUUUUUCAGCAAAACUUUUAUUUUCCAUUUCUCCACACUGUCACUAUGAAAUAAUCUGACAGCUAAUGGUGGGUACUAAAUAACCAACAGCUGGCAGCCAAUAGUGACUAACAAGUAACCAAUAAUUGGCAGCUAUUAAUAAAGAUAAAAUUACCAAUUAUAGAAGUUAAUCGGCCAAGUGAAGUAAAAGGCCUAACA
This is a long non-coding RNA of Emys orbicularis (European pond turtle), 2436 nucleotides long. RefSeq lists it as uncharacterized. The record is from RefSeq and is a predicted model, not a curated record. NCBI's taxonomy places the organism in Eukaryota, Metazoa, Chordata, Testudines, Emydidae. The transcript has 4 exons.